GGGGAUGUAUUUGGUUUUCGACAAUAUCCCAGAAGCAUAUAAAGCGAGUAGUGGAUGGCUGCUUCGGCCACUAUAAAAAAGCAGAAUAAAAAUAAACGCUGAUAAUACAGAAUUAGCUUACGCUGCCUAAGAUAGGCGGCCCGUCUUCUCUUUAGAGGCCUACGGCUUUAGAAAAGGCGUCGAAUUAGUAGGAAACAAAACUAUUUUUGCUAUGGAAAUAGUGGGUAUUCAAUAGCUACUUUAAAUUUGCAUUUGUUUGUUAAUACAAAUUUAGAGGAAUAAUAAUAACAAACUGCACUCGGAGAAAUAUAUGUGGAAAGAAUAUUGGACAGGGGUUCGACUCCCCUCAUCUCCACCA
This 358-nucleotide transfer-messenger RNA is filed under the name Clostridia bacterium. It matches the Rfam family "transfer-messenger RNA". Rfam says of the family: Bacterial tmRNA, also known as 10Sa RNA or SsrA, is named for its dual tRNA and mRNA-like properties. Its role is to liberate the mRNA from a stalled ribosome. RNAcentral also lists the same sequence under 1 other name. Lineage: Bacteria; Bacillati; Bacillota; Clostridia. The record is from RNAcentral.